CCCUUAGAUGUCCGGGGCCGCACGCGCGCUACACUGAAGGAAUCAGCGUGGCUUUCUCCCUGACCCGAAAGGGUUGGGAAACCCGUUGAAUCUCCUUCGUGAUAGGGAUUGGGGCUUGAAAUUGUUCCCCCUGAACGAGGAAUUCCCAGUAAGCGCGAGUCAUAAGCUCGCGUUGAUUACGUCCCUGCCCUUUGUACACACCGCCCGUCGCUACUACCGAUUGAACGGUUUAGUGAGGGCCUCGGAUUGGUCUCGGCCCGCUCUUUACCGGGCGGCGCCGUUGGUCGAGAAGACGCUCGAACUUGAUCGUUUAGAGGAAGUAAAAGUCGUAACA
This 334-nucleotide ribosomal RNA is filed under the name uncultured eukaryote. RNAcentral describes it as "partial 18S ribosomal RNA". It matches the Rfam family "Eukaryotic small subunit ribosomal RNA", at positions 1470 to 1796 of the family's 1831-position model. The record is from RNAcentral.